UUCCUGGUAGGCCGACCGAUUCAGUUCGAUUCUGUUCGGAACAGCUUUGUGGAACGGCAGUUGCAGGUGUCCGCUACGAAACGGUAAGCCGAUCCCGUGGUGCCGAUACUCUGUGGGAGUCUUGCAUAAUUUAGCCAACGAUUCCCGGAGUAUAGACGCGCCUCCAAUUAUGCGGCGAAUAGGGGAAAAAAAAGGAGAUAGAAAUACGCAAACAUUCUCUCCCGAUGUACCGGAUGCUACGAGGCGAAACCGAAGCAAAGAAUAUUUCAUCAACCCUCGGAUAGCAGCAGACCUGGGUCACCAGAGACGAUUCCAUUAUUUAUUCAUACGCCGCCGAAUAAAUGGUAUUUCUGGACUGCUGACCUCUAUGCAAAUUCGCGUUUUCAAGGACUAAUUAACCAAGCAGUUUGGUGGAAGUUCGCUACCUCGAUAAACGCUCUUUUCAGAAAAAACGCUCGUAUUACAGUUUCUCCCUCGUUCAACUUUUGUACGACAUUUUUAUCGCGUACACGUAAAUGCCCACCGUUUAGGUGUUUCUCUUUUGCGAAUUGUGCAGAAGCAAAAUUAAUUGCGGACUUCGCGCUACUAUUCACGAUACAAAUAUUCAAGCUAUUUGACUGAUGUUCGCUGCAGAAAAUUUUGAUUCUUGACCUGCAAUUACUUACGGAAUCUCUGUGCAAAAUAAAAACAAUUUGUAUCAAGAAACAGGA
This is a long non-coding RNA of Megalopta genalis, 710 nucleotides long. RefSeq lists it as uncharacterized. Lineage: Eukaryota; Metazoa; Arthropoda; Insecta; Hymenoptera; Halictidae. The record is from RefSeq and is a predicted model, not a curated record.